RNAcentral lists this small nuclear RNA (282 nucleotides) under Meriones unguiculatus (Mongolian gerbil). Its description in RNAcentral is "7SK RNA (ENSMUGG00000016822.1)". It matches the Rfam family "7SK RNA", at positions 1 to 278 of the family's 331-position model. From Rfam's summary of the family: 7SK was discovered as an abundant small nuclear RNA in the mid-70s but a possible function has only recently been suggested. Two independent studies have found that 7SK RNA binds the CDK9/cyclin T complex (known as elongation factor P-TEFb). Lineage: Eukaryota; Metazoa; Chordata; Mammalia; Rodentia; Muridae. The record is from RNAcentral.
GCCACUGAGGGCAAUCUGGCUGAGACAUCUGUCUUCCCAUUGAUCGCCAGGAUUGAUUUCUCUGAUCUGGCUGUCUAGGCUAGGCAGGUGUCCCCUUACUCCCUCACUACUCCAUGUGCUUCCUUCCCAAAGCUGGGCAAUUGUUUGAAGAGGAGGACCUUCUUCCCUGAAUAGAAGGAGACUGAUCUUUGGUCAAGAGUAUAUGAAUAGCUGCUCUCCCCUGCUGGAACCUCUAAACAAGCUGAAUAAAGUUUUUAAAUUCUGAAUUGUCUUCAUCAUUUU